RNAcentral lists this microRNA (23 nucleotides) under Branchiostoma floridae (Florida lancelet). RNAcentral describes it as "Bfl-Mir-34-P7_5p (mature (guide))". Lineage: Eukaryota; Metazoa; Chordata; Leptocardii; Amphioxiformes; Branchiostomatidae. The record is from RNAcentral.
UGGCAGUGUAUUUAGCUGGGUAA